CACUCCUGCGGGAGGCAGCAGUGGGGAAUUUUACGCAAUGGGGGAAACCCUGACGUAGCGACACCGCGUGAGCGAAGAAGCCCUUUGGGGUGUAAAGCUCUGUCAGCUGGAACGAAAACAAUGACGGUACCAGCAGAGGAAGCAUCGGCUAACUACGUGCCAGCAGCCGCGGUAAGACGUAGGAUGCGAGCGUUGUCCGGAUUUAUUGGGCGUAAAGAGUUCGUAGGUGGUUUGUUAAGUUUGGUGUUAAAGAUCGGGGCUCAACCCUGGGACUGCACUGAAUACUGGCAGACUCGAGUGUGGUAGAGGCUAGUGGAAUUCCCAGUGUAGCGGUGAAAUGCGUAGAUAUUGGGAAGAACACCGGUGGCGUAGGCGACUAGCUGGGCCAUAACUGACGCUGAGGAACGAAAGCCAGGGGAGCGAAUGGGAUUAGAAACCCCGGUAGUCCCAUGA
Molecule: ribosomal RNA, 453 nt
Filed under: uncultured organism
Description: partial 16S ribosomal RNA
Rfam family: Bacterial small subunit ribosomal RNA
Source: RNAcentral